This 772-nucleotide ribosomal RNA is filed under the name uncultured bacterium. RNAcentral's name for it is "bacterial SSU rRNA". It matches the Rfam family "Bacterial small subunit ribosomal RNA", at positions 8 to 796 of the family's 1533-position model. The record is from RNAcentral.
AGAGUUUGAUCAUGGCUCAGGACGAACGCUGGCGGCGUGCUUAACACAUGCAAGUCGAGCGGAAAGGCCCUUCGGGGUACUCGAGCGGCGAACGGGUGAGUAACACGUGAGCAAUCUGCCCUUAGCUUCGGGGAUAGCUCCGGGAAACCGGAAUUAAUACCGGAUAUGACCACGGUCGACAUCUGCCGUGGUGGAAAGAUUUAUCGGCUAGGGAUGAGCUCGCGGCCUAUCAGCUUGUUGGUGGGGUAACGGCCUACCAAGGCGACGACGGGUAGCCGGCCUGAGAGGGCGACCGGCCACACUGGGACUGAGACACGGCCCAGACUCCUACGGGAGGCAGCAGUGGGGAAUAUUGCGCAAUGGGCGAAAGCCUGACGCAGCGACGCCGCGUGCGGGAUGAAGGCCUUCGGGUUGUAAACCGCUUUCAGCAGGGACGAAGCGAAAGUGACGGUACCUGCAGAAGAAGCGCCGGCUAACUACGUGCCAGCAGCCGCGGUAACACGUAGGGCGCAAGCGUUGUCCGGAAUUAUUGGGCGUAAAGAGCUCGUAGGUGGUCCGCCACGUCCGCUGUGAAAAUCCAAGGCUUAACCUUGGACUUGCAGUAGAUACGGGCGGACUAGAGGUAGGUAGGGGAGAAUGGAAUUCCCGGUGUAGCGGUGAAAUGCGCAGAUAUCGGGAGGAACACCGGUGGCGAAGGCGGUUCUCUGGGCCUUACCUGACACUGAGGAGCGAAAGCGUGGGGAGCGAACAGGAUUAGAUACCCCGGUAGUCC